RNAcentral lists this long non-coding RNA (1204 nucleotides) under Linum usitatissimum (flax). Its description in RNAcentral is "long non-coding RNA (LUSI_LNC003951)". Lineage: Eukaryota; Viridiplantae; Streptophyta; Magnoliopsida; Malpighiales; Linaceae. The record is from RNAcentral.
UGAAACUAUUUUGGAUUCGCCAGUGUAGUGCCGGAUGUGAUGAAUUUGCUUGGGGAUUACAAGUAACUUGUUCCAUUCGAAGUAACUUGUUCUGCAUUUUUUUUUCGUCAUAUCAAUCAGACAUCAACAUCUUGAAAAUUUCAUUACACAGGUGAUAAACUUGACAGAAACAAACGACUUCAAAUCAGAUGAAAAUAAGAAAAUAAAAACAAGCAGACAGUAUUAAUACAAAUACUUCAUAGUUUCCUUUAUUUCAAAGGCCGAACAGCAAGCAUAGUUGAAGGUAGAACAUUCAGCAUGAUUCAUUCGAGGUUGUUGACAUACUUUUGAUUGAAACUUAGAGUUUGUUGCAUCGGAGACUAUUCUUAAUUAUCGGACACAAAGCCUUGAUUAGGUUGCGACUCGAUCUCCUUGGCGAACUCGUUGGAAGGAAGUCCGUCCUUGUAGCCGAAAGCUUGAUUAGGUUGUGACUCGAUCCCCUUGGCGAACUCGUUGGAAGGAAGUCCGUUCUUGUAGCCGAAAGUUUGAUUAGGUUGCGACUCGAUCCCCUUGGCGAACUUGUUAGAAGGGAGUCCGUUCUUGUAGGAGAACGCUUGAUUUGGUUGCGACUCGAUCCCCUUGGCGAACUCGCUGGAAGGAAGUCCGUUCUUGUAGCCGAAAGCUUGAUUAGGUUGUGACUCGAUCCCCUUGGCGAACUCGCUGGAAGGAAGUCCGUUCUUGUAGCCGAAAGCUUGAUUUGGUUGCGACUCGAUCCCCUUGGCGAACUCGUUGGAAGGAAGUCCGUUCUUGUAGCCGAAAGCUUGAUUUGGUUGCGACUCGAUCCCCUUGGCGAACUCGUUGGAAGGAAGUCCGUUCUUGUAGCCGAAAGCUUGAUUAGGUUGCGACUCGAUCCCCUUGGCGAACUCGCUGGAAGGAAGUCCGUUCUUGUAGCCGAAAGCUUGAUUUGGUUGCGACUCGAUCCCCUUGGCGAACUCGCUGGAAGGAAGUCCGUUCUUGUAGCCGAAAGCUUGAUUUGGUUGCGACUCGAUCCCCUUGGCGAACUCGUUGGAGGGAAGUCCAUCAUCACAAUGAACACCAUCGUGAACGGAAUUCGCAACUGGCACUAGAGAUUCGAUUGCUUUGGGCAUUGGCUGAUCUUUCAUCACAGAUCUCCAGUAAUCGUCUAUUGGGUGUUUCCUUGCAUUGACACGACCUCCCAACUGCA